This 244-nucleotide unclassified non-coding RNA is filed under the name Hevea brasiliensis (rubber tree). Lineage: Eukaryota; Viridiplantae; Streptophyta; Magnoliopsida; Malpighiales; Euphorbiaceae. The record is from RNAcentral.
UUUUCUUUUUUUUUUUUUGAUUUUUUUUAAAACAACGUAAAGUUAAAAGAAACCCUAAACUUUUUGUCUUCUUUCACAGCGGCAGCAUAUUGGAGACCACAAUAACGUAUUUAUUCCUCUCUUUAUCUCCUCUUCUUCUUCUUUCCUCUUUCUCUCUCCUCUUCUUCUAUUCUCUCUUCUUCUCUCAAUCACGCCACAACAUAACUUUAAUUUUUUUCUAUUUUAAUUUUUUUCUUCUCUUCUC